Long non-coding RNA from Pipistrellus kuhlii (Kuhl's pipistrelle), 222 nucleotides. RefSeq lists it as uncharacterized. NCBI's taxonomy places the organism in Eukaryota, Metazoa, Chordata, Mammalia, Chiroptera, Vespertilionidae. The transcript is spliced from 3 exons. The record is from RefSeq and is a predicted model, not a curated record.
GAGUGUUUUAAAAUAUAUUUUAUUGAUUUUUAAAAUUGCUCAAACCUUGCCCCCUUGGGUCUGGUUCUGCAAGUGUAAGAAGGGACAGAGUAAGGUUUUAGUAGCAGGAGUGAAGAGACAGGCAGGGCAGGAGCGGGCUAAGGAGAGGCAGGCAAGGGAGAGGCAGGCAGGGCAGGAGCAGGCUAAGGAGAGGCAGGCCAGGGAGAGGCAGGCAGGGCAGGA